CAUUAUUGUGCUGAAACUUUUUACAUGAAUGUAGCAUAAAUUUGAUUUCUGAAAAUCCAGACUAAAAAUAACUGUUGAGAGAGUUAUUUUCAGAUCAAUUUGAAAUGCACUUACAUAUUACAGCUAAACUGACAUAUUAUAUGCCAAAAAAUGAUCUUCAUAACGUCUUGUCCAGCCUCAUUCAUUCAUUUUCUGGCAUCUAACCCUGAGACAAGGGAUCUAAAAAGACAGAUAGUGUAUUUUCUGGGAUCUUUGUCCAAAGCGUUAACAAUCAGAAAGGACAGAGAGCAGGAUGUAAGAGUCAAACAGGGAAAGGAGGGAAACUAAAAGUGGAACAACAGCUGUUAGAUACUAAGCAGAUUUUAAAGCAUAGUGAAUACUUCGACCAGCCUGAGACUGCAGAGAUCAGUGACAGAAGGACAAUGAGCAGUCAGAACUGGAAUCAUGAAGAAUUUCUGAGGUCCAAACUAAGCCCGUACCAUAUGAACCUGUGGGCACAGGAAAUGAACUACUAACCCUACAGGAACUGAAUGUUCUACUCUUAGGCAUUUUUUAGAAAUGACUCCAGUGUCCUCUGUCCUGAAGAGCACUGAUUUCAUCACUCCAAGGCCAAAUAAGGCACAUUUACUUUUUAAAUGCUUAUCCUUCUGUUCCCUGUAGGAAUAUUUCAAUCAAAGGUUUUUCUGGCUCUGAUAUGAAACAAUUUAUUCCUUGACGGCAAAGAGUAUAUUCAAGAGUCAUUUGUAUUUAGAAGACUUAAUACAAAAAUGACACAACAAAGUUUUGUGUUCAUACCAGUUCUGAUAGAGGAAAACGAUUAAAUAAAUUCCUAGUACAAGCGAUUUUCAUUCAGUUGAGGCUCCGGAGAAGUAGGAGCUGCUUGCCAUGUAUGAACUAAUCUAUAACUAGAAGCCUGAGGAGAAUCAACUCAAUGCCUCCAGUGACUGCUCUUUCUGCGUCAGGUGGCAACACUGUCACUAAAUUAGAAGGAAGAAGCUCCAAGAAAUCCAGCUGAGUAUGUGUGGAGAAUAUCUGUGCACUUUUGGCACCACCACCACCAAUAAUUUUUCUUUUCUUUUCCCAUUGUCUAGAUUCUUUCAGCUCAUUACAGCCACAUAAGAUGUAGAGCCAGUCAUAUAUGAAACUCAUGGUCUCAUGGUGUUAAUCUGUCCCACAGACAGAUGUCCAAAAAAGAAAGAAGAGGGCACAAAAAUGAAUAAAUAAAUAAAUAGAUAGAUAAAUAGAUAGAUAGAUUCUGGAGGAUGGUAUGAACAAGUUGUAGAUUUUAACUUGUAGGUAUUUAUAUUUCUUAAUGACUCAAACUUCAAUUUCUUUCAACUUAAAAGUUUUAAAAUCUAAUAACAUAUAUAUACACAUACAUAUAUUUGUCUGACAAUGCUGGAGAAUUUUAAAUUUGAAAGUAUUAUUACGAUAGUCUGAAAAACAGCCAUACUUUAGAGGGUUUUUUUGGACUGUUUCAGUUAAGAAAAGUAGUCAAUGAUGGGGUCAUGCAUUUAUUUGACACAGCCAUUUUCAUUCACUAAAAAUAAAGAAAGUGCUGUUUCUCUGAGAACAGGAAUAAACAAAUUACAGGAGACAAGUUCUGUGCUCAAAUCCUCAAGGGCUGUUCAGACAGGAGCUGACCUAAGCCUUCCCUUUGGGUUCCUUUCAGGACAACAUGUAUUUUGCUUUCCACUAGCUGUGUUCAUACUGUCUAGUUGACAUGAAAAGCUUCAUGAGAUUUUCUUCAAAAGUACAUAUUAGUAUAAUCAUAAGUGAGGUAUAAAGACUAAAUAAGCAGAAACCUUUUUCUAUACUUCUAUUCUUUCUGAAUGUUGUUCCUUGAAUACUGAACAGAACUGCUAUUUUUAGGCUUGUAAACACUCAGCUGCAUGUUAUCUUAUAGCUUCCUGAUCACUUACUGACAGCUUUUGAUUUACUUUACGGCUUUUUUUUUUUUAUUUUAUUUUAUGGAGUUUUAUUUGUGCAAAAAUAACAAUAAUAAUAAAAAUAAAAAAUAAAAAAGAACAUAAGUAAAGACAUAAAACACAAAUGAGCAAGCAGCACUCUUCAGUUUGCACAUACUGUAACCUAAAAUGUAGUGACAACAAUAAGCAAUACAUUGUCAAAGUAGGUUUUUUUUUUUUUUUUUAAUCCCAUUCCAGGGUGCACAAAUGGGACAUCCUAUUUAGUAAUGGUGCAUUAGCUCUCUUCAUAACAAUAAACACAAAGUGGGGCUCAGGACACAAAAUCUUUUAAUCACAUUGGAUAGCUCUAGAAGAUAAGGAAUAAAUGAACAAAACAAAAAAUACAACAAACACAUCCAUUCUGAUAACUUUUUUUUUUUUUUUUUUUUUUUUUGAGCUAUUCUGUAAACAAUGAUCUGUGCCAGAUGUGCGACAGCAACAGUAUCUCCCUCCAUUCACUUAUGCGGGGAAAUAAGCUGUCAUUUGUCUCCUUUGUGGCUGAAUACUGAAGCUGCCUUACUCUUUAUUCAGCAAAUUACAUUCUUUAACAUCCCAGUGCGAAGUCCUACUGAAAAAAAAAAAAAAAAAAAAAAAAAAAAGGGCAUAAAGAAGAAAGUUAUUAUCACAAAAUGAAAUUGGAAACAAUGCCUACUCUUCAUGAAAUGUUCUGUCAUAAUGAAUUCUCUUUGUCAGAAAAAUCAGGAAUUCGCACAAUGGGCAGAUAUCAGUACAUGAGAACUCUCUAUUGGUGUAUUAAUCAUUAUUUAGACUGCUUCUAAUAUGAUAUAUGAAUGCAAUCAAUCGCAUACAUUUUGUCUCAAUAUAUUCUUCAGCCUCGUGAGUUGAAGGUAAAGCCUUUUAUGCAAACCAUUAAUGUAAAUGGUUUUCAUAAUUUGGAACACUUAUCCCUUGUACCAGUGUAAGCCUUGGGCCACAAAAGUGAUUUCAUAUAUAUAUAUUUUUAAUUACUUCUUCCAUUCACAGCAUUAGGCGAUACUUCAGAAAAAAAUACAUAUAUUUUAAGAAACACAAGCUUUUCCCAUCCAUUGCACUGAAAAAAAUUACAAGGACACCUUACUAAAUGUAUGUGCUACCAAAGUACUCAAUGGAAGUACAUUCAUGUUAAAAAAAUUGACUUAUUAUGUGCACAGGAUAGCUCAACACUAACUGCAGCAUUUAUUGUAAUUUCAGAGGCACAUAAGUUUUAAGUGAAAUUUGAAAUGAAAACCUUGUGAAAUUACUCAUUUUUCUAAUUCUUUCAGCACCAACUUUAUGAUGUCUAGUACAAAUACCAUAUUAGACCAUAGCAGUAAGUGUGCAAGCUAGCAAGGAAAAAUGUAUCCUACAUUAGUCCUACUGGGACAUGACUAGUCAACUAUUUCUCUACUUUCUUUUUUAUCUUCUGAAUUGAUAUUAAUAUACAACAAUAUUUAUUAAUUUAGAAUAUAUAUAUACAAUUCAUAUGUAUAUUUAUAUUUUAUAGAAAUGAUUACAAUUCACCCUAUAUUUUAUUUGUCAGAACAAAGAGGCUAGCUAGCUAAGAAAAACAAAUCAGAAAUAAAAAUAAAAGGAAAACUACAGUGAAACACUGAGACAAGAACAAACCUGCUACCACAAAUUAAAAUUAUAAAAAGUGAGUAAUGAAGGUUUCCCAUCUGAAACCUAAUCAAUUUGCCUUCAGACAAUCAAGGGGUGCCUGUAGCUUGGGGAAUUCAUAUUCAGAAUAAAAAUACAGGCAUUUGUAAAGUGUACAAGUUAAAGCUGUCUUUGCCUGAAUGAAAUAAUGGAGAUAGUAUUUUAAACAAAGUUACCAUAAAAAUUCGUAUCAUGAGCAAAAUUACCAACUUCAACUAUUUUCAUAGCUUGUGAAGGGAUAUUUUUUUCUAUAGUAUUUAUUAUUCUGGCAUAAUAUCAAGAUACUGUGAAGGAUGGGAUUAAUCUGAGUUUAUCAGAAGAGGCCUCUUUAAUAGCCAAACAGGCACUGAUGUGUCCAGUAAUCUAUCUAGAACUAGGGCAGCAGGACAAUAACUACUUGUUCAACAGCCAUAUUUAUCUUCAAAGAUUGUAGCAAUUAACUUAAAUGUAAAUGUCCAAAUUCUUCACGCUUCAAGUUAACAGACAGGAAUUUCUCUUGGAAGGAUUCAGUUUUCAUAAGUGACCAGGGACAGUUUUGAACACAUAAGUGUGCAUAUUUGUAAAUCCUUCAUUUAUUCCUACCCAUUGUUCUGCAGUCAAUUCUGCUUUCUCACAUAAAUUGCAUAUAUCAAAAUGUCUCAUAAAUGAUAUUCAGAUAGUAUCAUCUGUGAGAUUCUGGAAGAAUCAUUAAAAUUGGAGUCUCCAGGGUCUCAUUUAGACCUUAAUAUAAUGAAAAGUAAUCUUCAUUUCUAGAUCCUCAUGCUCUGAUAAUUCCAGAAAUAUGCUGUGUCCAAGUUGUUUGUUUCUUGAACAGUAGUAUUCCAGAAUGUUUCAUAAUAUCAUCUUGAAUAAUUAUGCAAAUAUUUUACCAUCUGUAUCAGUAAUACUUCAACUAACAUUAUCUUGAAACUCUUUCAUCAUUACUGUUUAGGGUUGUUGGCAUAUAGUCAUUCAAAAAUGAACUAAAAUGAACUUUUCUCUUACUCUGAAAUUUAAAAUCAUUUCUUUCCAGUUUUCCAUUCUGCAUUUCCAAAGUAAAUUAACUAAUAAAUGCCAGACUUGGUUACAUCUUGUUCUUGUUGGAAUAAAAAUAAAUAAAUAAAAUAAACUCAAUGUACUCAAAUAAUGCAGAACUAAUUGUGUUAUAUAUGACAUUAUUUUAUAUAAUUAUAUUCUCUUCUUAGAUUACACCGUUCUCCAAACACUAGCUUAGCACUGCUUUUAUUUCUUUGAGAGAUAUACUUUUCAUUUUUGUCUGUUGUAAAGUAACUUUACUAAAAUAAGUUUGAUACUGUUGCACCCAGUAUUUAUAAAUAAGUAGUCAGCAAAACCUGUAGCUGUAGAUACACACAUUUCUUCUAAUGAAUCCUUAUUCUUGUAGACUAUUCAAUAAUCUUUGAACAACGGCAUGUUUGUGACUAAGCUAUACUAAUAAAACAUCAAAUAUCUUAUCAAGAUAACUGAGCUUGUUGAGGAAAACCACAAGCCAGUAGCAGAAGACCUAAAAAAUAGAAGCAAUAGAUUAUAAAAGAAGCCCUGAAAAUAAAAACAUGGCAUUUGCACCAGUCACUAAAGAGAUGACAUCUCAUUAAUUAGAUAAAACCAGUUCUAAAGGUAAUCAGUGAAGAAAGAGCAAGUGGACACAGGUAACAAAUAUGCAAGAAUAUUCAAGCUCAUUCCAGGUAGGGGAGAAAUCAUUGAUACAGUAACCACCAUUUUAUUUACUCUAGUGGAAAAGAUUGGUGAUUUUCCAGGAUAUUUUCCUUUUUUCUUGAAAACUAGAAAAAUCAGGUGUAGGAUGCAGAGGAGGAAAAGAAGAAUGUAAAUACCAUGGGAGAGAGGAGAUCAGUACAAAAAAAAAAAAAAAAAAAAAAAAAAAAAGUGUUUCAGUUUUAACUAUUAUCGUCAUUGUCAAUUAACGAUAACAAGUGGAUGAUUUCAAAUAGUUUUAUCAGUAUUAUUCUGAUCAGACUAGUAAUAUUUAUUUGAAUAGACUCUCAGGGCUUUAACUGGACCACCACCAAUAAGUU
RNAcentral lists this long non-coding RNA (5632 nucleotides) under Gallus gallus (chicken). RNAcentral describes it as "lncRNA (ENSGALG00010006298.1)". Lineage: Eukaryota; Metazoa; Chordata; Aves; Galliformes; Phasianidae. The record is from RNAcentral.